AGUGAACGCUGGCGGUAGGCCUAACACAUGCAAGUCGAACGGCAGCACAGUAAGAGCUUGCUCUUACGGGUGGCGAGUGGCGGACGGGUGAGGAAUACAUCGGAAUCUACUUUUUCGUGGGGGAUAACGUAGGGAAACUUACGCUAAUACCGCAUACGACCUACGGGUGAAAGCAGGGGAUCUUCGGACCUUGCGCGAUUGAAUGAGCCGAUGUCGGAUUAGCUAGUUGGCGGGGUAAAGGCCCACCAAGGCGACGAUCCGUAGCUGGUCUGAGAGGAUGAUCAGCCACACUGGAACUGAGACACGGUCCAGACUCCUACGGGAGGCAGCAGUGGGGAAUAUUGGACAAUGGGCGCAAGCCUGAUCCAGCCAUACCGCGUGAGUGAAGAAGGCCUUCGGGUUGUAAAGCCCUGUUGUUAGGAAAGAAAAGCAGCAGGUGAAUACCCCGCUGUUCUGACGGUACCCAAAGAAUAAGCACCGGCUAACUUCGUG
This 492-nucleotide ribosomal RNA is filed under the name uncultured bacterium. RNAcentral describes it as "partial 16S ribosomal RNA". It matches the Rfam family "Bacterial small subunit ribosomal RNA", at positions 29 to 507 of the family's 1533-position model. The record is from RNAcentral.